RNAcentral lists this ribosomal RNA (459 nucleotides) under uncultured bacterium. Its description in RNAcentral is "partial 16S ribosomal RNA". It matches the Rfam family "Bacterial small subunit ribosomal RNA", at positions 338 to 795 of the family's 1533-position model. The record is from RNAcentral.
CCUACGGGAGGCAGCAGUGAGGAAUAUUGGUCAAUGGUCGGGAGACUGAACCAGCCAAGCCGCGUGAAGGAUGAAGGUACAGAGUAUCGUAAACCUCUUUUGUCAGGGAACAAAGGCGGGGACGUGUCCCCGGAUGAGUGUACCUGAAGAAAAAGCAUCGGCUAACUCCGUGCCAGCAGCCGCGGUAAUACGGAGGAUGCGAGCGUUAUCCGGAUUUAUUGGGUUUAAAGGGUGCGCAGGCGGUCUGUUAAGUCAGCGGUCAAAGCCCGGGGCUCAACCCCGGCCCGCCGUUGAAACGGGCAGUCGCGAGUUGGAGAGAGGUAUGCGGAAUGCGCGGUGUAGCGGUGAAAUGCAUAGAUAUCGCGAAGAACUCCGAUUGCGAAGGCAGCAUGCCGGCUCCACACUGACGCUGAGGCACGAAAGCGUGGGUAUCGAACAGGAUUAGAUACCCCGGUAGUC